Molecule: non-coding RNA, 20 nt
Filed under: Arabidopsis thaliana (thale cress)
Lineage: Eukaryota; Viridiplantae; Streptophyta; Magnoliopsida; Brassicales; Brassicaceae
Also listed under: 2 other names
Source: RNAcentral
UGAACGCCUCUAAGUCAGAA